GGGGAUCACUGCUACUAGGUCGCUACUUUCCAACAUUUUAUAUAUAUAGUUAAUUAUAAACAGAUGAGGCAGCAUAAGUUAACCCUUAUAGCUGUUGCACCAUUAGGAAUAAAUAAGCUACUUAGAUUGUUUUAUUGAAGUGGAAAUUAUAACAUCCAUCAUAGCUCUUGGUUAAAUUGGAUCUACUUCAAAACUUGCAGCUUAGCAGGAAUGGACAAUGGUGAGACCUUUUGUGGACUUGAAUUUUGCAUCCCCUGGUGAGGACUUGAGGCCGCUAGACCGUGCCAAUAAGUUAUAUUUGAGUGACCAGAGAAGCUGCUCUUGCUCUUCAUUAAUUUACUUGGGAGACAAGAUUCAUAAUUUGUAUUCUUCAAUGAUUACAUGCUUACGAAUAAGAUUAUAAACUGAGUAUUGGCAGACAUGAGAUCACAAGAGCUAAAUGUGCCUUAAUAUCUGAAUAAACUAAUAGAAGGCGUUUAGCAUCUCUCUCCAAAGCGAUCAAUAGCGCACGGUAAGGUGCCAGCUAGCUUUAUAGUUCAACGAUGCACACAAAACCCGAGAGACUUUCACUAUUGUGUUUAUAUUCUUGAAGGCUUACCGUAUACCCGAAUGUAUUUAGUUUGCCAGUUUUGACAUUACGGGGAAUCGUUCAUGCGUUAGGAUCUUGUUAGCCAUUACGGAGAAGUGUUCUAAAGGUGAUUCGCUCAAUCUUUGCAAGUUAACAAAUUGUGGUCACUCAUAUAGGAAAAUACAAUAGAAUACUUCGCGACAACUGUGUAUUAAGAAUAUACUACAGACUCGGGGGAGCAUGUCUACGGCGGGAAACACAAAAAUGGACCCUGUCUGCUCGAGGGGUGUGCGCAGUAAGGCCCGUGGUCAAGAUGUGAUAGGCUGACAUUUCCAGUCGUGGUCCAGCUGUUGUGUCGGGAAGGUGUUACGCUCUCCGUGUUGCCGAGUGUGGUAGUGGUGGCGGGAGGGUGUGUGUUAUUUCCUCGUUAUGGCAGCUCUCCCUAGCGAUAUACAGGUGGGGCACUGAGCUGUACGCUGAGCGGGCCACCCCCAGGAUGCCAGGGCUCCCCACGCCCACGCCUACCACCUCUCCGGCACGCCCGCGCCGCCACUCUCUUUCGCGCCGCCAUGCCAGCGCCGCCCAACCCGUGGUGUAGACACGCGCGGCCGCCCGCCUCGCCGGCACGGGGCGUCGGGUAGCUCCACUGUGGCUCCCGAAUUCACGUGUGUGUGUGUGUGGCGAGUGACUGAGUGACACGGUGAGAGGCAGAAGCGUGACGGAGCGGCCCGGCCAGUACGGGAGGGCGGCGCCCACCACCUGGGGGCGUAAUGGCGGAAGGGAGGCGAGAAGGGACGCAGCCUGCCAUCUAAGAGCCAUGCAGAAGGCGGGCGGUGGGGGCGCGCACACCCCUGACGGGGCGCUGCAGCACCUGGAGCAGCUGGAGCAGCUCAUCAAGACGGUGGAGGCGCGCCGGGCCGCCAGCUGCGAUCUGAGCGACGGUUCGCCCACGCCCGCCUCCCCGCAUCCCCUCACGCCCACCUCCAUCCCCAGCCGCAACGCGAACUUUUGGCGCGAGGUGUCCCCGCAGCUUUCCUACAUUGACGGCGGCAGCUCUUGCGGCGCCUCCUGCGGGCGUAGCGUGUCGUGGAACCUCUCCGACCUGCCGGGCAACGAGUGUGGCCCGCGCGCCCCACGUUCUGACUAUCGCGCCUCCUCAGACUCCCUCAAGCUGCACCAGAAUGGCACGCCGCCCCUGCCGCCCCUCACGCCCAUCACCAAAUCUGCCUCGGACACGCUGUGCUCGCCCUCCCACCAGCCCGCCGCCCACUCCGUCGUGGAGGUGGAGAAGGGUGACAUCAAGACUAAGAUCCAGAAGAGACUCAGCUUCGGCGACACUCUUGACCUGCACACUAACAUCUACACGCCCGCCGAGGAGUGCAUGGCCACCAGCCUGGAGCUGGCGGGCGCCGAGGGCACCGCCAACGGUUCCUCCACGUCCCUCGAGCGGCGGUGGACCGAGGAAGACGCCACGGGUGGACCACCGUUGGUGCGCCGCAACUCUGUGGACGCGCAGAGCCAGUACUCUUUCUACAUGGACCGCGACCUGCGCUACUACUUCCAGCAUCCGUGGCUCAGGCUCAUCAUCGCCUACCUCGUCAUCUUCUGCAACUUCCUGCUGUUUGCCGAGGAUCCCGUGUCACACUCCCACGCAGAAUCAAACAUUCCUGUGGUCGGCAACGUGUUCAGCUUCGUGUCGACCAAAUAUCCAGACGAGUGGUUUUGGAGGAUGAUCAAGGUCAUCAUGUGGCUGAUAGCAAUACUCUGCGGGAUGUUGGUGGGGAAAGUGCUGAUCCACGGACUGAUUUUCAAGAAAAUUCUACGACUCAAGAUGUUCCGAGACGAGCAGGGCUCCUGGAUGACUAUGUUCCUGACGGUGAUCGUGUCGCUGUACAUGUUCUCCUACGUGUACAACCUGAUCCUCUUCGUGGGCCACGAGAAGUACUGCAGAUGGCAAAUCGGCUCUGACAUGGACGUAACCAACGAGAGCAUGAUGAAGGCCGCGGCAACCUGCACGUGGCUGGGAGAUCUGGUGACUGCCCUCAUGGUAACAGAUAUGAUGCUGCAGGACAACUUGUAUCCGAACUGGGCGCCUGAGUUCCGUCGCCUUUACCGGAUUUCAAACGUCCCGCGAAUCCUAAUCUUCUGGUGCGGGUAUAUCGUGGUGGCAAUAGUGGUGAUCUUCCUCAUCGUGUCUGACUAUAUAUCCUGGGACGAGCUUAACAAGGGCUUCGUGGAAACUACCGAAUUAUCACGUGCAUUCCUGGCAUCCUUCAUCCUCGUCAUGGACUUGCUGAUUGUCAUGCAGGAUUGGGACUUCCCACACUUCACCUCCACCAUUGACGUUAACCUGCCAGGCUUCUCUACCUACAUCCUCCGCUGGAAGUACGCUAAGAUAUCCGUCACUGGCAAGUGGUUCAACUAUGGCAUCAUCUUUAUGGUCAUGAUUCUGGACCUCAACAUGUGGAAGAACCAGCUCUUCUACAGUCCUGGUCCCUAUGGCCAGUAUAUAGACCCCAACAGCAGCAAAGUGUACACGGUAGAGGACCCUGUGUUCAUCAGUGAGGGCAACGAGAGUAUGUGGACGUGGAAGGCACGCUCAGAGAUAGACAACGCAACGGGCCGACCUUACUUAGAAGCGGACAUGGACAUGAACUCUCGCUACAUGGACUACAGCCUCUCAGUGAAGUGUACUGCCUUCAUUCCCAACAUACUAGGUUUCAUCAUGCUCUUUACUUUGGUCUCCCUGUACGGCCGCUUCCCACCCAACCAGCAUUACUGUGCAAUGUAAGGUAUUGGUAAUUUCACUCAAGCACUACAUAUGUUGCAGUGUUCAGUACAUCGACGGAACGUACGGAGGGCGGCUGAAGAAGAAGAAACGCUCAUCGUGGAGGCGAGAAAGGAAGUCAGCAUCAGAGCACUACUAUAGAGACCUGCCUUCAGGGA
This 3514-nucleotide unclassified non-coding RNA is filed under the name Portunus trituberculatus (swimming crab). RNAcentral describes it as "transmembrane protein 117-like, transcript variant X3". The record is from RNAcentral. Lineage: Eukaryota; Metazoa; Arthropoda; Malacostraca; Decapoda; Portunidae.